This 478-nucleotide long non-coding RNA is filed under the name Lupinus angustifolius (narrow-leaved blue lupine). RNAcentral describes it as "long non-coding RNA (LANG_LNC002061)". Lineage: Eukaryota; Viridiplantae; Streptophyta; Magnoliopsida; Fabales; Fabaceae. The record is from RNAcentral.
GGUAACAUAACAUGAUGGAGUAGUUUAGGAGGAAGAGAUAUCAGAGUUAUAAGCACUUGGUGGUGGGGUAGAACUAGAAAAAGCAGAGCCACCAGAGUUGUUAUUACCAAUAUUUUCAGUGACUUUUCCACCCUUUGAUGUCACAAACUUAACAAAGCUGCUAAAUAUUUGAGCUUUGAUUUGUCCUCUUUUGGGGGGAAGGUUUGCUUUCUCCUUAUGAGGUGUGGAAGAAGAAGUUGUUGCCAUUUUCAAAUUUGUUUUUAUCUGAAAUCAAUAAUGAAAUAGACAAGGAGCAAAUAUAUAAUGAUUAAUGAGUAUAAAUUUAAACAGAAUUUUGGGAUAAGGAAAUACCAAAAUUUAAGAUUACUUAUAAACAGGAGUAAAAUUAUUUGAAAAUUAAAGGCCUCGGUGCCCAAGAAAAAUUUAGGAGAGGUUGUAGAUGGAGGGAAAAGAGAAAUGGGACAUGGUUUUUUUGUUU